RNAcentral lists this ribosomal RNA (304 nucleotides) under uncultured Streptococcaceae bacterium. RNAcentral describes it as "bacterial SSU rRNA". It matches the Rfam family "Bacterial small subunit ribosomal RNA", at positions 505 to 809 of the family's 1533-position model. Lineage: Bacteria; Bacillati; Bacillota; Bacilli; Lactobacillales; Streptococcaceae. The record is from RNAcentral.
GUGCCAGCAGCCGCGGUAAUACGUAGGUCCCGAGCGUUAUCCGGAUUUAUUGGGCGUAAAGCGAGCGCAGGCGGUUAGAUAAGUCUGAAGUUAAAGGCUGUGGCUUAACCAUAGUACGCUUUGGAAACUGUUUAACUUGAGUGCAGAAGGGGAGAGUGGAAUUCCAUGUGUAGCGGUGAAACGCGUAGAUAUAUGGAGGAACACCGGUGGCGAAAGCGGCUCUCUGGUCUGUAACUGACGCUGAGGCUCGAAAGCGUGGGGAGCAAACAGGAUUAGAUACCCUGGUAGUCAAGGGCGAAUUCGC